This 361-nucleotide long non-coding RNA is filed under the name Nicotiana benthamiana. Its description in RNAcentral is "long non-coding RNA (NBEN_LNC039439)". Lineage: Eukaryota; Viridiplantae; Streptophyta; Magnoliopsida; Solanales; Solanaceae. The record is from RNAcentral.
GAAUCGUGUUGAGAUGGAGAGAGUGAGGAGGGAGUUUCUUUGCAAUUCUUCACAGGCACUAAAGAUGGAGAGCACUUUUGAUGCUACUAAUGAGAGGGAAUGUAGUGUAUGUUUUUUUGAUCUACAUCUGUCUGCCGCCGGCUGUCACCAUUGUUCGCCGGAUAAAUAUGCAUGCUUGAACCAUGCAAAACAACUGUGCGCUUGUUCCUGGGGUGCCAAAUUUUUCCUCUUUUGUUUUUUUGAUCUACACCUGUCUGCUGCCGGCUGUCACCAUUGUUCGCCGGGUAAAUAUGCAUGCUUGAACCAUGCAAAACAACUGUGCACUUGUUCCUGGGGUGCCAAAUUUUUCCUCUUCCGUUUU